GAAUUCACCAAGUGUUGGAUUGUUC
RNAcentral lists this non-coding RNA (25 nucleotides) under Arabidopsis thaliana (thale cress). Lineage: Eukaryota; Viridiplantae; Streptophyta; Magnoliopsida; Brassicales; Brassicaceae. The record is from RNAcentral. RNAcentral also lists the same sequence under 1 other name.